GAAUCUAUCAAAAGGCCUGGGACAACCACUGGAAACGGUGGCUAAUACCGGAUGAGCCGAAAAGUAAAAAGGGAAACCUGCCUUUUGAAGAGCUCGCGUCUGAUUAGCUAGUUGGGGAGGUAAGAGCUCACCAAGGCAGCGAUCAGUAGCUGGUCUGAGAGGAUGACCACCCACACUGGGACUGAGACACGGCCCAAACUCCUACGGGAGGCAGCAGUGGGGAAUUUUCCGCAAUGGGCGAAAGCCUGACGGAGCAAGACCGCGUGAGGGAAGAAGGCUCUUGGGUCGUAAACCUCUUUUAUCAGGGAAGAAAAAAAUGACGGUACCUGAAGAAUCAGCCUCGGCUAACUCCGUGCCAGCAGCCGCGGUAAUACGGAGGAGGCAAGCGUUAUCCGGAAUUAUUGGGCGUAAAGCGUCCGCAGGUGGCUUAUCAAGUCUGCUGUCAAAGAGUGGGGCUUAACCCCAUAAAGGCAGUGGAAACUGAGAAGCUAGAGUGCCGUAGGGGUAGAGGGAAUUCCCGGUGUAGCGGUGAAAUGCGUAGAGAUCGGGAAGAACAUCGGUGGCGAAAGCGCUCUACUGGACGGCAACUGACACUCAGGGACGAAAGCUAGGGGAGCG
RNAcentral lists this ribosomal RNA (618 nucleotides) under cyanobacterium 2-16. Its description in RNAcentral is "bacterial SSU rRNA". It matches the Rfam family "Bacterial small subunit ribosomal RNA", at positions 122 to 770 of the family's 1533-position model. Lineage: Bacteria; Bacillati; Cyanobacteriota. The record is from RNAcentral.